UACAGAGGUCUCAAGCGUUGUUCGGAUUCAUUGGGCGUAAAGGGUGUGUAGGUGGCGCCGUAAGUCGGAUGUGAAAUUUCGGAGCUUAACUCCGAAACUGCAUUCGAUACUGCGGUGCUUGAGGACUGGAGAGGAGACUGGAAUUCAUGGUGUAGCAGUGAAAUGCGUAGAGAUCAUGAGGAAGACCAGUGGCGAAGGCGGGUCUCUGGACAGUUCCUGACGCUGAGGAGCGAAAGCGUGGGGAGCGAACAGG
RNAcentral lists this ribosomal RNA (253 nucleotides) under uncultured bacterium. RNAcentral describes it as "partial 16S ribosomal RNA". It matches the Rfam family "Bacterial small subunit ribosomal RNA", at positions 524 to 776 of the family's 1533-position model. The record is from RNAcentral.